GUCUACAAUAUUGGAUAACCAUGUGCCUUUUUAAAACAUUCUCUCCGAACAUCAUCGGAGACAGAUAUUAAUGCUUAUUUUCCUCUCUUGAUGGACUACGAGUUUGGCUAUUCUGUCACAUUC
Small nucleolar RNA from Eutrema salsugineum, 123 nucleotides. The record is from Rfam. NCBI's taxonomy places the organism in Eukaryota, Viridiplantae, Streptophyta, Magnoliopsida, Brassicales, Brassicaceae.